RNAcentral lists this ribosomal RNA (327 nucleotides) under uncultured eukaryote. RNAcentral's name for it is "partial 18S ribosomal RNA". It matches the Rfam family "Eukaryotic small subunit ribosomal RNA", at positions 1470 to 1796 of the family's 1831-position model. The record is from RNAcentral.
CCCUUAGAUGUUCUGGGCCGCACACGCGCUACACUGAAGGAGGCAGCGUGUACUCCUGGAUCGAAAGAUUUGGGUAACCCGCGAAUCUCCUUCGUGCUAGGGAUUGAGGUUUGCAAUUAUCCUUCAUGAACGAGGAAUUCCCAGUAAGUGCAAGACAUAAGCUUGCGCUGACUACGUCCCUGCCCUUUGUACACACCGCCCGUCGCUACUACCGAUUGAAUGAUUUAGUGAGGACUUCGGACUGGGACCGAUGCGGCUUUCGGGCUGCGUCGGUAUUCUGGAAAGAUGUCCAAACUGUAUCAUUUAGAGGAAGUAAAAGUCGUAACA